RNAcentral lists this ribosomal RNA (477 nucleotides) under Triticum aestivum (bread wheat). RNAcentral's name for it is "partial small subunit ribosomal RNA". The record is from RNAcentral. Lineage: Eukaryota; Viridiplantae; Streptophyta; Magnoliopsida; Poales; Poaceae.
AUGAUUGCUGAAAUAAAAAAUGUGUUCCAAGGGUUGUUCAAGGAAUACCUACAAUUGAAUGGCAAUGGCUCAGAUCCCAUGUCACAAGGAGGUGAUGAUGACAUGGCUGUACCCAUCCAUCAAAGUGAUCAAUUCAAUAUCCUUGCAUGGUGGCAGACCAACUCAGGUGAAUACCCAACACUGAGUCGCAUGGCAGCAGAUAUCUUGGCGCCUCCUGCCUCUGCGGUGGCAUCCGAGUCUGCCUUCAGCACAGGGAAGAGAGUCCUAUCAGAUUUUGGAAGUCGAAUGACCGCAACAACACUUGAAGCUCUUGUUUGCUUACAAGAUUGGAUAAGGGCCAGUGAUAAAGCCAUAGGACACAAGGAACUAUUUGCAAGAUGCAGCCCAAUCAUAUAUCGAGGAUUGAUGCUUUUUGGAGCAAUUCAUGUUAAACCUCAAGCAGAUGAUGAAGCAAAGAUAAGUCAGCUUUCUCUAUAA